AUACUUAACUGGCAGGGGAGAUACCAUGAUCAAGAAGGUUGUUCGGCCAUUGCACUCUGGCUGUCAGACCCCUGCGAAUUCCCAAAAUGGGGGAAUCUUGACUGCAUAAUUCGUGCUGGUGGGGGACUGCGUUGGUGCUCUCCCCUU
Molecule: small nuclear RNA, 147 nt
Filed under: Betta splendens (Siamese fighting fish)
Lineage: Eukaryota; Metazoa; Chordata; Actinopteri; Anabantiformes; Osphronemidae
Description: U1 spliceosomal RNA (ENSBSLG00000023169.1)
Rfam family: U1 spliceosomal RNA
About the family: U1 is a small nuclear RNA (snRNA) component of the spliceosome (involved in pre-mRNA splicing). Its 5' end forms complementary base pairs with the 5' splice junction, thus defining the 5' donor site of an intron. There are significant differences in sequence and secondary structure between metazoan and yeast U1 snRNAs, the latter being much longer (568 nucleotides as compared to 164 nucleotides in human).
Source: Rfam by way of RNAcentral